Molecule: long non-coding RNA, 3706 nt
Filed under: Capsicum annuum
Lineage: Eukaryota; Viridiplantae; Streptophyta; Magnoliopsida; Solanales; Solanaceae
Description: long non-coding RNA (CANN_LNC017022)
Source: RNAcentral
GCAGAACAAAGUCAACAGCAGCAACAACUGACAACGACAGCAGCGACCCAUACUAGCAACAUCAAUAACACCCACAAUUUCAAGGCAACAACAGUAAAGCAAUUUUGAAAUUCAAAUCUCAAUUGGUAUUCCCUCUUUACCCCUCCGUUUUCCCCAAAUCAGUGCAAAAGCUCCUAUAAAUACCCAUGUAUGUAGAGUGAAGGGAAGAAGAGGAUUUUUGGAGAAAAAUUGAGGGUUUGGGAGGCGUGAGUUUCUAAUCCUACGCAACCAAAAAUUCUCGAAGAAACACCGGUUUGAAAUCGUCCAUUCGUCGUCCAGAUUCGCUGCUCCGAAACCGGUAAGGACUUCAUUCUCUUUGUAUUUAUCUUCACUUUUAUUUUUAUGUAUUUGGAAAUUGUAAUUGCAAAUUGAAUACUGUGUUGUCAUUUCGAUCCUUCGUUGGGCUUAACAAGUUAUACGAUUUGUCAGACGGGUUUAUAUUGGAAUAUAUGUGUGUUUGGUGUGUAUCGGAAUUGAAAGUAUAAUUAAUCAUUAACAUGGAUUGAAAAACUCGAAGCUUUUAACAGAUUGUGCCAUGUUUGAUUAUCAUCUUAAGCCUCGGUUACUUUUUUUCCCACUUGUAAAAGGUUGAAAAUAUGCUUUAAAUUUUUUAUGAAUUCCUAAUUACUAAAUCUUAAAUAGUAUUAUCUGUACAGACAAUGUGUAACUCCAGUGGCUUCCCAUUUUAUUCAGUUUAUUUUUCUCUUUUCUAUAGAAAUAAAUUCAUAAGUAGAUUGUGAUUAUAGCAUGUUUAAGUCAUGUUCUUGGUUUUUCUUUUGGUUCCAUUUUGGAAUAAAAUAAUUUUAUCUUUGCUAGCCAUUGAAAUAAAAAUAUGUAUACAUAUAUGUAUGUUUUACUAAAUGUUUCAAAUGAGACUAGUUAUAAGAUUUGUUAUGUUCACUUAAUUUUGUUCCAGUAAAAUAGCAGGUUCUUAAUGUUAGUUGCCACACUUGAAUAAAAGUCCUCAUCACCUCCAAUUUUGUGUCCUUAUCACCUCCAAUUUUGUGAUAAAUAUGUGUGAUUUCAUUAUUUCUCAUUGGCCUAGGUCGCGUAAGCCCGGUUAGUGGAUCUAUUUGAUAAAUAAUAUGUUCCUCCUCGCUUUACUUUCCUCAAAAACCUAGUUAAUGUUUUGUUGUUAUUUGAUUCAUUUUACUGUUGGGUUCCAAGGAAUUAUUGUUUUUUUUUUCUUUAUAAAAGAUAUGUAUAAUUAUUCAAAAUCUAAAAUGUUAGCAGUAGGCUUCUAUCCCCAUAAUUUGAAUAUCGUGUCUAUUAGGACAUGAUCUUGCCAUAUAGUCUGAGAGGUUGGUUUCAUCAUGCUUUUCUUUGUUUGAACGUUGUGCCUUUUUACAUGGAUUAACUUUUUUGGUAUCAUUUUCUUCUUUGUCUAUGCAGACACUAAUAGUAACACCAGCCCAAUCCAACCUUUACUGACCCGGCCCGUAACCCUUUUGCCUUUUCCUCUUUUAACAUCAACAACACAAUUUCAACACAGCAACAUCAAUAACGCAGAACAAAGUCAACAGCAGCAACAACUGACAACGACAGCAGCGACCCAUACUAGCAACAUCAAUAACACCCACAAUUUCAAGGCAACAACAGUAAAGCAAUUUUGAAAUUCAAAUCUCAAUUGGUAUUCCCUCUUUACCCCUCCGUUUUCCCCAAAUCAGUGCAAAAGCUCCUAUAAAUACCCAUGUAUGUAGAGUGAAGGGAAGAAGAGGAUUUUUGGAGAAAAAUUGAGGGUUUGGGAGGCGUGAGUUUCUAAUCCUACGCAACCAAAAAUUCUCGAAGAAACACCGGUUUGAAAUCGUCCAUUCGUCGUCCAGAUUCGCUGCUCCGAAACCGGUAAGGACUUCAUUCUCUUUGUAUUUAUCUUCACUUUUAUUUUUAUGUAUUUGGAAAUUGUAAUUGCAAAUUGAAUACUGUGUUGUCAUUUCGAUCCUUCGUUGGGCUUAACAAGUUAUACGAUUUGUCAGACGGGUUUAUAUUGGAAUAUAUGUGUGUUUGGUGUGUAUCGGAAUUGAAAGUAUAAUUAAUCAUUAACAUGGAUUGAAAAACUCGAAGCUUUUAACAGAUUGUGCCAUGUUUGAUUAUCAUCUUAAGCCUCGGUUACUUUUUUUCCCACUUGUAAAAGGUUGAAAAUAUGCUUUAAAUUUUUUAUGAAUUCCUAAUUACUAAAUCUUAAAUAGUAUUAUCUGUACAGACAAUGUGUAACUCCAGUGGCUUCCCAUUUUAUUCAGUUUAUUUUUCUCUUUUCUAUAGAAAUAAAUUCAUAAGUAGAUUGUGAUUAUAGCAUGUUUAAGUCAUGUUCUUGGUUUUUCUUUUGGUUCCAUUUUGGAAUAAAAUAAUUUUAUCUUUGCUAGCCAUUGAAAUAAAAAUAUGUAUACAUAUAUGUAUGUUUUACUAAAUGUUUCAAAUGAGACUAGUUAUAAGAUUUGUUAUGUUCACUUAAUUUUGUUCCAGUAAAAUAGCAGGUUCUUAAUGUUAGUUGCCACACUUGAAUAAAAGUCCUCAUCACCUCCAAUUUUGUGUCCUUAUCACCUCCAAUUUUGUGAUAAAUAUGUGUGAUUUCAUUAUUUCUCAUUGGCCUAGGUCGCGUAAGCCCGGUUAGUGGAUCUAUUUGAUAAAUAAUAUGUUCCUCCUCGCUUUACUUUCCUCAAAAACCUAGUUAAUGUUUUGUUGUUAUUUGAUUCAUUUUACUGUUGGGUUCCAAGGAAUUAUUGUUUUUUUUUUCUUUAUAAAAGAUAUGUAUAAUUAUUCAAAAUCUAAAAUGUUAGCAGUAGGCUUCUAUCCCCAUAAUUUGAAUAUCGUGUCUAUUAGGACAUGAUCUUGCCAUAUAGUCUGAGAGGUUGGUUUCAUCAUGCUUUUCUUUGUUUGAACGUUGUGCCUUUUUACAUGGAUUAACUUUUUUGGUAUCAUUUUCUUCUUUGUCUAUGCAGACACUAAUAGUAGAACUAUCUAUCUUUCAUGAAAUUCUAAAUGUAUUUGCUAUCUUGAUUAGUUUAGGGUUUUGGAUGUUGAUAACUGUUAAAAUUAACAUCAGUCGUCCUCUUGACGUGUUAUUAAUUCCUUGUCUUUUUUUUGCAUAAAACCAUCUUGAACGAGUCCAAUGGGACUCCCCAUAUCGUUGCAUCGACCCACAUUAUCUCGAGUCAAGCCUUAAAGUCCAAAACUGGACUGAUAUGCAUGGGAUAUACACUUAGAUACAAUUGGUGUACACUGGAAAGCAGCUGAUAAUGGCGUAUAUUAAAAGUAGAAGCGAGCAUACAAGGUUUAUACACAGAUAUACAGAAGGUAUACAAAAAUCCGAUAAUACAGUCCGAUAUACAUCAGAUAUACAAAAACGCAGGGAAAGAAUAGCUGCUGUAUACAGCUGAUAUACAGGAGAAAAUGGAUUGAAAUCCAUUCGGCUUAGGCCCAAGAGCUGGGCAGCCCAGUAAUGGUCCAAAAGGGCCCAAUUUUUACUCUUUCUUUAUUUUUUAUUCCUACUUAUUUGUAUUUAUUUGAACACUAACUAACUAAUCUAGGUAAAUUCCCUAAAUUGUUGUCACUUUUAUUUUAUCUUAGUUUUUUUCGCUUAAUUAAUAAUUUCCUCACCUAAUUUAUAUUGUUUAAGACGGAUUAAAUUAUUUCCUUUGAUUUUCUCCUUAAAAUAAGUCUUUUAAAAGUG